Molecule: non-coding RNA, 24 nt
Filed under: Arabidopsis thaliana (thale cress)
Lineage: Eukaryota; Viridiplantae; Streptophyta; Magnoliopsida; Brassicales; Brassicaceae
Source: RNAcentral
AGGAGACAAAGCCGCGUUCUAUGG